Molecule: ribosomal RNA, 503 nt
Filed under: uncultured bacterium
Lineage: Bacteria
Description: bacterial SSU rRNA
Rfam family: Bacterial small subunit ribosomal RNA
Source: RNAcentral
GACGAACGCUGGCGGCGUGGAUUAGGCAUGCAAGUCGAACGGUAUCAUCCUUUCGGGGGUGAGAGAGUGGCGAACUGGUGAGUAACACGUAGGUUAUCUACCCUCAAGACGGGGACAACCCAGGGAAACUUGGGCUAAUACCGGAUGUGAGCAACUUUUAGUUGUUUGAAAGGUGGCGUAAGCUGUCGCUUGGGGAUGAGCCUGCGUCCUAUUAGUUAGUUGGUGAGGUAACGGCUCACCUAGGCAAUGAUAGGUAGGCGGCCUUAACGGGUGGUCGCCCACACUGGGAUUGAGAUACGGCCCAGACUCCUACGGGAGGCAGCAGUCGAGAAUAGUCUACAAUGGUCGGAAGACUGAUAGUGCGACGCCGCGUGAACGAUGAAUCCCUUCGGGGUGUAAAGUUCUUUUAUAUGUGAGCAGUGCUUCUUAUAUUAACGUAUGGGGAGAGAGAUAUUAGCAUAUGAAUAAGCAACGGCUAACUCCGUGCCAGCAGCCGGGUAAAA